Long non-coding RNA from Numida meleagris (helmeted guineafowl), 156 nucleotides. RefSeq lists it as uncharacterized. NCBI's taxonomy places the organism in Eukaryota, Metazoa, Chordata, Aves, Galliformes, Numididae. The record is from RefSeq and is a predicted model, not a curated record. The transcript has 3 exons.
AAAAGUGUGUGUAACUGUGUGUAACUUCGUGAGUUGAGUGAGUGUGUUUAGACACUUUAUUUUUCGGCGUGUAUAACCCGAGGUGAUGGCGGGGCGCCACUUUAUUUUUCGGCGUGUAUAACCCGAGGUGACGGCGGGGCGCCACUUUAUUUUCAG